GCCGGGGUGGCGGAACAGGCAGACGCACAGGACUUAAAAUCCUGCGGACCGUGAGGUCCGUACCGGUUCGAUUCCGGUUCCCGGCACCA
This 89-nucleotide transfer RNA is filed under the name Bacillota bacterium. RNAcentral's name for it is "Firmicutes bacterium (subsurface metagenome) tRNA-Leu". It matches the Rfam family "tRNA". From Rfam's summary of the family: Transfer RNA (tRNA) molecules are approximately 80 nucleotides in length. The record is from RNAcentral. Lineage: Bacteria; Bacillati; Bacillota.